This is a long non-coding RNA of Pseudopipra pipra, 580 nucleotides long. RefSeq lists it as uncharacterized. Lineage: Eukaryota; Metazoa; Chordata; Aves; Passeriformes; Pipridae. The record is from RefSeq and is a predicted model, not a curated record. The transcript is spliced from 2 exons.
UUGCGAACUUCUCAACUUUCUGUGGGACUGGUGUGAGAAAAGCCCAUCCAGUUACCCAAAAGAGAACAGUAUGGAGAACUGGGCCGCAGAUGGAACACCAGGAGUCCCCUUUCAUUGAGGAGUCUCACCAGAAGACAAGUUACCUUAGGAACAUGUCAUGCUAUAGGCUGUUGUCUUCUCAAGCGUAUAAGAGAGGAACCCCCAAAAGACAGAAGAACAUAAAGAAGAAAAUGUAUAUCUUAAAAGCAUCAGUACAAAAAUCAUUCAUCCACCAGCUCACUAAUAGAAGUAAUACUUCUAUUAUUAUUCAGUAAGAAUCAAAAAUCCAUCUGUAAAUCUGCAGACGUUGCUCUGCAUCUCUUAGCAUGGAUCAGAGAGGAUACACAUGCUAUUUACAGGAAUUAAGGAUGAAAGGAUCAGGUUUCACUUCCCUUUUAUCCCUUACUUAUUUUUAAAUGAUUGCGCAUCUCAAAUAGACUUGAACUGGUCUUAAAUUAUGUGCAAACCAUCCAUGCAAAUAAUUUGCUCAUUAAGUGCAAGUGUAUUUCCAAAUGAGAAAUAAAUUUCUUCCUGAAUAUCA